This 71-nucleotide transfer RNA is filed under the name Loxodonta africana (African savanna elephant). It matches the Rfam family "tRNA". From Rfam's summary of the family: Transfer RNA (tRNA) molecules are approximately 80 nucleotides in length. Lineage: Eukaryota; Metazoa; Chordata; Mammalia; Proboscidea; Elephantidae. The record is from Rfam by way of RNAcentral.
GCAGUGGUUGUUCAGAGGUAGAAUUCUCACCUUUCAUGUGGGAGACCCUGGUUCACUUCCUGGCCAAUGCA